This 253-nucleotide ribosomal RNA is filed under the name uncultured bacterium. Its description in RNAcentral is "partial 16S ribosomal RNA". It matches the Rfam family "Bacterial small subunit ribosomal RNA", at positions 524 to 776 of the family's 1533-position model. The record is from RNAcentral.
UACGGGGGGGGUAAGCGUUGUUCGGAAUUACUGGGCGUAAAGGGCUCGUAGGCGGCCAACUAAGUCGGACGUGAAAUCCCUCAGCUUAACUGGGGAACUGCGUCCGAUACUGGAUGGCUUGGAUUUGGGAGAGGGAUGCGGAAUUCCAGGUGUAGCGGUAAAAUGCGUAGAUAUCUGGAGGAACACCGGUGGCGAAGGCGGCAUCCUGGACCAAUAUUGACGCUGAGGAGCGAAAGCCAGGGGAGCAAACGGG